CCUACGGGAGGCAGCAGUGGGGAAUAUUGGGCAAUGGGCGCAAGCCUGACCCAGCAACGCCGCGUGAAGGAAGAAGGCCCUCGGGUUGUAAAAUUGUUUUAUUAGGGACGAAACAAAUGACGGUACCGAAUGAAUAAGCCACGGCUAACUACGUGCCAGCAGCCGCGGCAAUACGGAGGUGGCAAGCGUUAGCCGGAUUCACUGGGUGUAAGGGGCGUGUAGGCGGGAGGGCAAGGUAGACGUGAAAUUACAGGGCUCAACCCUGGAACUGCGUUUGAAACUGUUCUUCUUGAGUGAUGGUGAGGCAGGCGGAAUUCCGUGUGUAGCGGUGAAAUGCGUAGAUAUACGAAGGAACACCAGUGGCGAAGGCGGCCUGCUGGACAUUAACUGACGCUGAGGCGCGAAAGCGUGGGGAGCAAACAGGAUUAGAUACCCGAGUAGUC
Molecule: ribosomal RNA, 443 nt
Filed under: uncultured bacterium
Lineage: Bacteria
Description: partial 16S ribosomal RNA
Rfam family: Bacterial small subunit ribosomal RNA
Source: RNAcentral